GCAUUGGUAGUUCUAUGGUAGAAUUCUCGCCCGCCACGCAGGAGGCCCGGGUUCAGUUCCCAGCCAAUGCA
This 71-nucleotide transfer RNA is filed under the name Podarcis lilfordi (Lilford's wall lizard). It matches the Rfam family "tRNA". From Rfam's summary of the family: Transfer RNA (tRNA) molecules are approximately 80 nucleotides in length. Their secondary structure includes four short double-helical elements and three loops (D, anti-codon, and T loops). Lineage: Eukaryota; Metazoa; Chordata; Lepidosauria; Squamata; Lacertidae. The record is from Rfam by way of RNAcentral.